This is a long non-coding RNA of Brassica napus (rape), 1204 nucleotides long. RefSeq lists it as uncharacterized. The record is from RefSeq and is a predicted model, not a curated record. The transcript is spliced from 5 exons. NCBI's taxonomy places the organism in Eukaryota, Viridiplantae, Streptophyta, Magnoliopsida, Brassicales, Brassicaceae.
GUUUAUUUGGUUUUUUUUUAAAGCGUUUUCAGCGGUACUCAUACCAGCCACCGUGAUAACUAUCUCACUGGUGUCUCUGUUGGGGACUGUCCACGUUUAGGGUACAUCAAAGUUUAGAAAUUUGACGGAGUCAUUGCAUAUACACUUGGUGGAGUGCAGUCCCGCGUUGCAGAAACUUCAGCACCAUAACCUGAAGUGCACAGAUGAAAGUAGUUCGGAGAAGAAAGCUAUAAGUUCACUAGCUGGGACACCUGUGCACUGGCACGCUACUCUUGAAGAGGUACCAUUAGGAGUACCAACAAUAAUCAUAGCUCAUGAGUUCUAUGAUGCUCUUCCAGUUCAUCAGUUUCAGGUUUGUGUGAUUUGCAAUAUAGUCUUCUCAUUUUUCCAGCUUGUGCUUCUCUUUCUGGCUAUUUUCUAUGUUCUGUGUAUGUUGCUUUCAAAGCAGUUCAUCUUGAAGAAACAACAUGAAGCUAUCCAGAAGCAACAAGGUCAGUCUUACGCACUUAUUGAGGAGACGGAUGAGAGUCUUCAUGUAGCGACAAGCGGAGGAUCACAUGGGCACGGGGAGUUUGAAUUCAGCGAGAUCUUUGUGCAUCAGUUUUUUCACACCAUAGAAUUUUUUGCUUAGAGCUGUUUCCAACACCUCUUCUUACCUGCGUAUAUGGGCUCUCAGUCUUGCACACUCGGAGAUAUCGUCAGUCUUCUAUGAGACUAUGAGAAGGUCGUCCUUCUCGCUUGGGGUACAACAAUGUGUUGAUCCUGAUCGUUGGGAUCAUUGUUUUCAUAUUGUGGGAUUGCUGCUGGUGAUAGAGACACUGAGCACGUUCCUUCGCGCACUGCGUCUCCACUUGGUGGAGUUUCAGAACAAAUUCUACGCUCAUUUCUCUUUCGUUCUCACCGGAAACGAAGACGAUUGAUAAGGAUGAAUGAUUGUUCCAUUCCCCUCCUAUUCUCUGCAAAAUUUGCAUAUAUAAAAAAGGAACGAGGCAAACCAAGUUUUAUUUAUUUUCUGCGAAUAUAUUUUUCCCCUUCCACAUUCAGGGUGGGCGGAAUUAAAUAUGUUUAUUUUGUUUGCCUGUCUGGAGAUUAGAUUUUUUUAAACAACAGUGGAGAAGGGGCUAAUGGAAUUUGUACGAGGUAAACUCAUUUGUUGAUGUGUUUGUUUGGAGUUAAAUACGUGAGGAUUUGUUUCCACUUACUA